UUUAAAACGUUGAAAAGGAAUAGUACGGUUUUCCAAGCGAACAGAGAGCUGUUGAAUGGUGCGAAACAGCCGUGGAGAGAAUCGGAACUCGCCUUGGAGUUGCUCGCUGAACCCGUAAAGUAGGUGGAGCCGGAGCCUGACCGUUAUCUUCAGGAGGAUACAAGGUUUAUCCGUUUUUGGAAACCCUGUAUCCGUAGAGUGCAUGCCAACGACGGCAUGAAUUCGGAGUGGUACCGCGUAAGAUGUCAAAGUCUUUCGUCUCCUGA
Molecule: non-coding RNA, 266 nt
Filed under: Paenibacillus sp.
Lineage: Bacteria; Bacillati; Bacillota; Bacilli; Caryophanales; Paenibacillaceae
Description: T-box sequence
Rfam family: T-box leader
About the family: Uncharged tRNA acts as the effector for transcription antitermination of genes in the T-box leader family.
Source: RNAcentral